Molecule: long non-coding RNA, 1048 nt
Organism: Triticum aestivum (bread wheat)
Lineage: Eukaryota; Viridiplantae; Streptophyta; Magnoliopsida; Poales; Poaceae
Exons: 2
Source: RefSeq, a predicted model, not a curated record
GAUGGGAUAUUUCUGUUCGUAGUAAUAAAAAUAUUAUUGCAGUAACUUACAUAGAGAGAGAGAGGACAUGACGAACGUUAAGCGUUUUGUAGUUGGGGGAGGGGCGGAUCUGAAGCCAUGCUUAGGGCGUGUGCUAUUUGUUUUCCCGUUGCAACGCACGGGCAAUUUUCCUAGUAUGAUUUAUGAAAGUACUUAGCCUUGAAUACAGAGUAGAUGCAUAUUUAUAUGGGAGAUUGGUAGAUGCGGCGAUGCAGCUAUAAGGUAUCUGCAGAGAAGAUGCUCGCACAUCUACACAUGCAUGCACCCAGGGGGGGUGCGUGAUACACGAGGUUGUGUGCUCAUUGGCCGCACAAGAUCUCGUGAUGGAUAACACGUACGUCCGCUACAGAAGAGGGCAGCAUACCAAGCGAUUCAUGGGUCAAUCGACUUGUAGCGACUCCUUCCUGGUGUGUACUUCUCCUUAACUUGGUUAACUACCAAGAUCCUCUUGUAUAAAUGUUGCCGAUGCUAUAUCAUCACCUUCUUGCACUGCUAGAACAUUCAAUCAAUUCUUCAGAGUUCAUUGAAGAACAUGAGUUCUGUGGAGGCAAAGGCGUGAAGUAUCCAGGGCCUGCGGGAGGAAGCACCAUAGUCACUAGCGCAAAGGCAUCGUGGCCGGAGGUGGUCGCGAUGUCCGUCGAGAAGGCCAAGGAGAUCAUCCUCAAGGACAAGGCCGAUGUGGAGAUCGAGGUCCUCCCAGUCAACGCAUGGGUAACCUAGGACGUAAGGCCCGACUAUGUGCAACGAGAGAUUUGUCCAACUUAUUGUAGUUGCCUGGAAUCUUAAAAGUGCGCAUGCUCGUUGGCGAGAACGAGCGGCCGCUUCGUCACUUGCAUGCAUGUUUAUCUUUUUAUAUCUGCUAGUGCAUGGUUGUUGGCAUUACAUGUUGUCGGACUGAACACAUCAAAAAUAAAGCAACAGAUUCUUGUGCAUUUAUUUUUUGUUUUCAUUUCUUUUUAAAGUUGUAUCUUUCAAACCGCACGUUGAAAUGCAGGUUUGUCUUCCUUGU